RNAcentral lists this long non-coding RNA (636 nucleotides) under Vitis vinifera (wine grape). RNAcentral describes it as "long non-coding RNA (VVIN_LNC002574)". Lineage: Eukaryota; Viridiplantae; Streptophyta; Magnoliopsida; Vitales; Vitaceae. The record is from RNAcentral.
ACGGCUUACCACUCCCUUGAGCUUCGCUAACAGAGUGAUUCGCACUAUAUGGACUGAAACCAGGAGGUUCCCCGUAAGCAUAAGCACCAUAAGAAGGUGGUGGUGGUGCAGCACCAUAGGUAGGUGGUGGUGGUGCAGCACCAUAGGUAGGUGGUGGUGGUGCAGCACCAUAGGUAGGUGGUGGUGGUGCAGCACCAUAGGUAGGUGGUGGUGGUGCAGCACCAUAAGUAGGUGGUGGUGGUGCAACGCCAUGAAAAGGUGGUGGUGCAGCACCAUAAAAAGGUGGUGGUGCAGCACCAUAAAAAGAUGGUGGUGCAGCACCAUAAAUAGAUGGUGGUGGUGGAGUAAAUGCAUAAGGAUGAACAUAGGCACCAAAGUGAGUUGGUGAUGGUCCCGAUGGGUAAUAAGGAGGUGGUGUUGAUGAAUAAUAAGGAUGCUGCGGCCCAUAAGCAUAAUAAGGAGAAGGUCCAUAAGCACCAUGAGGAGCAGGCACAUAAGCACCAUAAGGAGCAGGCCCAUAAGCACCAUAAGGAGCAGGCCCAUAAGCACCAUCAGUUAGGCCUCCAUAAGAACAACCCCAACCCCAAGGAGGCAGCGGUGAUGCAACACCAUGUGGUGAAGCUGGAGCUGCCACUG